AUGAAAAAUGAAGACAAGUGGAUGCCUCCGCCUGAGGGCAUUUGGAAAAUGAACACAGACGCGUCGUUCGUACCACCCUCUGGGGAAGCUGCGGUAGGGCUUGUUGUCAGAGACCAUCGGGGACUGGUUGCUCUGAGUUGCGGACAGCAAUUAACAGGCUGCAGUGGACCGGAGGAAGCCGAAAUCAUGGCGGUACUGAUUGGGUUAAAUACUCUAAGCAAGUACUAUAACGGGCAGGUCUGGGUGGAAUCGGACUGCUCAUCUAUUAUCAAUCUGCUGAAUAAUAAAGCGAACAAUCAGUCUGCGUUCUUUCCAAUUGUUGCUGAUGUUCGGGAUAUGGAAAGGAAGUUCAGGCAGUUAAGUUUCAGUGCAGUCAAGAGAUCCAACAACAAAGUAGCUCAUGAAUUGGCGGCUCAAGCCAGAAGACAAGGAGAUUUCUGUCUCAUUAGCAAAGUCCCUGACAACCUAAGAAGUACCCUGAUGGGGGAUUGUAAUGAUGUUGGCUCCAUUACUUAA
Molecule: ribosomal RNA, 516 nt
Filed under: Triticum aestivum (bread wheat)
Lineage: Eukaryota; Viridiplantae; Streptophyta; Magnoliopsida; Poales; Poaceae
Description: partial small subunit ribosomal RNA
Source: RNAcentral